This 420-nucleotide RNase P RNA is filed under the name Mycobacterium lehmannii. RNAcentral's name for it is "bacterial RNase P". It matches the Rfam family "Bacterial RNase P class A". From Rfam's summary of the family: Ribonuclease P (RNase P) is a ubiquitous endoribonuclease, found in archaea, bacteria and eukarya as well as chloroplasts and mitochondria. Its best characterised activity is the generation of mature 5'-ends of tRNAs by cleaving the 5'-leader elements of precursor-tRNAs. Lineage: Bacteria; Bacillati; Actinomycetota; Actinomycetes; Mycobacteriales; Mycobacteriaceae. The record is from RNAcentral.
UGAGUUGGCUGGGCGGCCGCGGGAUCCAGGUUCACCUGGAUUUUCGAGGAAAGUCCGGACUUCACAGAGCAGGGUGAUUGCUAACGGCAAUCCGAGGUGACUCGCGGGAAAGUGCCACAGAAAACAGACCGCCACCACCGGGUCUUCGGACUCGGGGAGGUAAGGGUGAAACGGUGCGGUAAGAGCGCACCAGCAUUCCGGGUGACCGGAGUGGCUAGGCAAACCCCACCCGAAGCAAGGCCAAGAAGGCCGCAACCUGGUUGCGGCCGCGCAGGCGCCCGAGGGUUGCUCGCCCGAGCCUGCGGGUAGGCCGCUCGAGGCACCCGGCGACGGUGUGUCCAGAUGGAUGGUCGCCACCUCGCCGCCGCGGUCAGCCGCGGUGGUGCGGGACAGAAUCCGGCUUACAGGCCAACUCAUCCG